Molecule: long non-coding RNA, 455 nt
Filed under: Olea europaea subsp. europaea
Lineage: Eukaryota; Viridiplantae; Streptophyta; Magnoliopsida; Lamiales; Oleaceae
Source: RNAcentral
UGCGUAGUGACGAUCCGAUGUUGCUUCAUUGAUUGCUGCUGUGGAUAAAACAGCGACGAUGUUCGUGCAUCGAUGCUGACGAACAUCGCUGCUUCUUCGUGUGUAGCGGCAUUUUCUUUCCAUUUUCUCUUCAUAUGUUGUGCGUUGCGUUGAUGGUUGCAGUGCGGUGUGAUAGAGAUGAAGAAGAUGAUGGAUUUGAGGAAGUGGUGGUGGUACUUUGUGGAUAGAAGCUAUGGAAAUGGUACGGUGAAGGUGGUGGUUGCGGGUUCGAGGAUUUUUUUAUUUUGAUGGUGGUUGCGGUGCGGUGCGGUGAGGGUGGUGGCUGUGGGUUUGGGAAUUUUUUUUGUUGGAGUGGUGGUACAGGUGGUGCUACAGGGGGUUGAUUGUGGUAAGGCAUUGGUUUUGGUGGUUGGAGUGGUGGUGGUGGCAACUUCCAUAUUUUGGCAAUGGUUGCA